Molecule: transfer-messenger RNA, 365 nt
Filed under: Croceicoccus ponticola
Lineage: Bacteria; Pseudomonadati; Pseudomonadota; Alphaproteobacteria; Sphingomonadales; Erythrobacteraceae
Description: Croceicoccus sp. GM-16 transfer-messenger RNA
Rfam family: Alphaproteobacteria transfer-messenger RNA
About the family: Bacterial tmRNA, also known as 10Sa RNA or SsrA, is named for its dual tRNA and mRNA-like properties. Its role is to liberate the mRNA from a stalled ribosome. To accomplish this part of the tmRNA is used as a reading frame that ends in a translation stop signal.
Source: RNAcentral
UCACUUCACAUUAAGCCAAGGGUCGCUAUAUAGGGCGUGCCGGUUUCGACCGGAUAUGGCGAUAAAUUGCGGUGUGCAAUAGGCACAGCGGACCCGGGGGCAGUACCCGGCGGCUCCACCAGUUUUCCCCGCCAAGCCCUUGUUAUCGGAGGGGCCGUGGGGUUGGAUCAUGGGGCCGAACCAGGAUCGACGUGUGUUGAAAGGCACUGUUUUUGCCCGGGCUGAGUAACCCGUUUAAGGCUCAAAAACCCACAAGUGCCAACGAUAACGAAGCACUCGCUCUCGCAGCGUAAUCUGACGGCCUAACGGCCUGAUCUUACAAAGCCAAAGCGCGGUUGGACCCACCGGGCAACAGAAGGGAUACC